This 408-nucleotide ribosomal RNA is filed under the name uncultured microorganism. RNAcentral's name for it is "bacterial SSU rRNA". It matches the Rfam family "Bacterial small subunit ribosomal RNA", at positions 509 to 915 of the family's 1533-position model. The record is from RNAcentral.
CAGCCGCCGCGGUAAUACGUAGGGGGCGAGCGUUGUCCGGAAUUAUUGGGCGUAAAGCGCGCGCAGGCGGUCCCUUAAGUCUGAUGUGAAAGCCCACGGCUCAACCGUGGAGGGUCAUUGGAAACUGGGGGACUUGAGUGCAGAAGAGGAGAGCGGAAUUCCACGUGUAGCGGUGAAAUGCGUAGAGAUGUGGAGGAACACCAGUGGCGAAGGCGGCUCUCUGGUCUGUAACUGACGCUGAGGCGCGAAAGCGUGGGGAGCAAACAGGAUUAGAUACCCUGGUAGUCCACGCCGUAAACGAUGAGUGCUAAGUGUUAGAGGGGUGAAACCCUUUAGUGCUGUAGCUAACGCGUUAAGCACGCCGCCUGGGGAGUACGGCCGCAAGGCUGAAACUUAAAGGAAUUGGCG